GAUGAACGCUGGCGGCGUGCCUAAUACAUGCAAGUAGAACGCUGAAGGAGGAGCUUGCUCUUCUGGAUGAGUUGCGAACGGGUGAGUAACGCGUAGGUAACCUGCCCGGUAGCGGGGGAUAACUAUUGGAAACGAGAGCUAAUACCGCAUGACAACAGUUAUUGCAUGAUAACUGUUUAAAAGGGGCAACUGCUCCACUACCAGUUGGAGCUGCGGUGCAUUAGCUAGUUGGUGAGGUAACGGCUCACCAAGGCGACGAUACAUAGCCGACCGGAGAGGGUGGUCGGCCACACUGGGACUGAGACACGGCCCAGACUGCUUCGGGAGGGAGCAGGAGGGAAUCGUCGGCAAUGGGCGGAAGUCUGACCGAGCAACGCCGCGGGAGUGAAGAAGGUUGUCGGAUCGGAAAGCUCUGUUGUAAGGGAAGAACGAGUGUGAGAGUGGAAAGUUCACACUGUGACGGUAUCUUAUCAGAAAGGGACGGCUAACUACGUG
This 495-nucleotide ribosomal RNA is filed under the name uncultured bacterium. RNAcentral describes it as "partial 16S ribosomal RNA". It matches the Rfam family "Bacterial small subunit ribosomal RNA", at positions 28 to 507 of the family's 1533-position model. The record is from RNAcentral.